GGAACAGUGUGCACAAGGGCACAGAAGAAGGAGAGAGCACAGCUGGGGAACUAAAAGUAACCUAGCAUAACAAGGCAAAGACACACCUGGGGAAGUGGUGAGCCAUGCCCUGAGAAAAGGGCCAGAUCAUAAAGGUCUUUAUCCUGGGAGGAUUGCAAGUGACAGAGAGACAUAACCCUCUAUGUUUUUUAAGGAAAACCACUCUGGCAGUAUGUGGGAUGAUAAAUUUGGGAAGGGAAAAGUUAAGAGACAGAGGGAUAAGACUCUGAAGCUAUUGCAGAAAUCCACCCCGUAACGGUGGCACGAGAGCAGAAAUAUUUGAAGACCUUUGCCCCGGACUACAUUUCUGCAUAAAUUUUCCAUCCAGGUGUAAUAGGAGAAAAUGUGGCUGAGAAAAUGUGGCUAAGAAAACACAAAAAAGAAACAAAGACUAGUGGCCAUGAGAGAGAGACAGAAAGAGAGAAAAGGAAAUAAAGAGGUGCAUCCAGCUGGCCCGAAGCUGUGAACGUCCCAGUGUGACAGAUUGCAUAAUUGACCCUAAUUUCUACCCCUCCCUCUAUCCACAACUUUUGCCAUGAGACUUUGCAGUUCCACUUCCACGGGGAGAGUAUAUUCCCCCACUCCCUGAUUUUGAGCUUGGCCAGGGGAUUUACUUUGGCCCAUGGGAUGUCAGCAGACACAUCUUCAACAAGGGUUUUACUAUGUCUUUGCCCUCACCAGGCGAAGAACCCACCUCCGCUCACCUGCUGUCCGAGGAAGCUGUGAGAGACACACAUGAGCAGAACCACAGCUCAGUAUAGCAGCUCCUUACCCUAAAUCUGCUGACAUAGGAGCAAGCUCAGCAGACAUCAGCAGAGCCGUCCAGCCACCCACAGAUGUGUGAGCUAAAUAAACGCUGGCCGUCACGUGCCGCUGAGAUUUGCAUGGUUGUUUAUUACACAGAAAUGGCUGACCAAUACCCCAGCUGUGUGAGCCAGUGUAUCACCCCAUCCUUUCUUCGCCUAAUAUUUGUCAGUUUGUU
This is a long non-coding RNA of Panthera uncia (snow leopard), 1021 nucleotides long. RefSeq lists it as uncharacterized. NCBI's taxonomy places the organism in Eukaryota, Metazoa, Chordata, Mammalia, Carnivora, Felidae. The record is from RefSeq and is a predicted model, not a curated record. The transcript has 3 exons.